UACAGAGGUCCCAAGCGUUGUUCGGAUUCACUGGGCGUAAAGGGUGCGUAGGUGGUGAGGUAAGUCGGAUGUGAAAUCUCGGAGCUCAACUCCGAAAUGGCAUUGGAAACUACCUCGCUAGAGGAUCGGAGGGGAGACUGGAAUUCUCGGUGUAGCAGUGAAAUGCGUAGAGAUGCGGAGGAACACCGAUGGCGAAGGCAGCCCCCUGGGCCAACACUGACGCUCAGGCACGAAAGCGUGGGGAGCAAACAGG
RNAcentral lists this ribosomal RNA (253 nucleotides) under uncultured bacterium. RNAcentral's name for it is "partial 16S ribosomal RNA". It matches the Rfam family "Bacterial small subunit ribosomal RNA", at positions 524 to 776 of the family's 1533-position model. The record is from RNAcentral.